This 413-nucleotide long non-coding RNA is filed under the name Pan troglodytes (chimpanzee). RNAcentral describes it as "long non-coding RNA NONPTRT016376". Lineage: Eukaryota; Metazoa; Chordata; Mammalia; Primates; Hominidae. The record is from RNAcentral.
GCUAGCCCCACCAGACCCCUGCUACACGUGCCAGUGCCAGGACCUGACAUGGCUCUGCAUCCACCAGGCUUGUCCUGAGCUCAGCUGUCCCCUCUCAGAGCGCCACACUCCCCCUGGGAGCUGCUGUCCUGUAUGCCGGGAAUGUGUGGUGGAGGCCGAGGGCCGGAGAGUGGCAGAUGGAGAGAGCUGGCGGGACCCCAGCAAUGCGUGCAUCGCCUGCACCUGCCAUGUGAGCUGGGGUGGGCCUGGGAGGGUGGAGGAUCUCGCAGAUGGAUAAAGGGAGGAGUGUCCAACACUCCACCAGCAGAUAUGGGGUCUUUAAGGGUCAGGGGCAUCCCUGCGCCGGGCAUGGAGCCGAAGGCUGGAUUUCAUUCCCCACUUGAACUGUGAAGAAUGUAUUGUGGGAGGGGCAG